UGUUCCCUUCUUCAAAUCUUCUCUCCCAUACUCUAAUCUUCCGUUUUUUCUUCUUCACAUGAUUGUUCCACUCACUUCCUCAACCCACUAGCACCAUAACAUUCACUCCUAGUUUCUCUUCGAUCCAUCUCCUCUCUCCUUUUUUUUUGGCAGAGAAUGGAGGCUAGGAAAGCAGCUACCUUAAAUUUAUUGAAGCUUAAAGUAUUU
This 207-nucleotide long non-coding RNA is filed under the name Elaeis guineensis (African oil palm). RNAcentral describes it as "long non-coding RNA (EGUI_LNC074023)". Lineage: Eukaryota; Viridiplantae; Streptophyta; Magnoliopsida; Arecales; Arecaceae. The record is from RNAcentral.